GACGAACGCUGGCGGCGUGCCUAAUACAUGCAAGUAGAACGCUGAAGGUGGAGCUUGCUCUUCUGGAUGAGUUGCGCACGGGUGAGUAACGCGUAGGUAACCUGCCUGGUAGCGGGGGAUAACUAUUGGAAACGAUAGCUAACACCGAAUAACAGUAGAUGUUGCAUGACAUUUCCUUAAAAGGUGCAAUUGCACCACUAACAGAUGGACCUGCGUUGUAUUAGCUAGUUGGUGGGGUAACGGCUCACAAAGGAGACGAUACAUAGCCGACCUGAGAGGGUGAUCGGCCAAACUGAGACUGAGACACGGCCCAGACUCCUACGGGAGGCAGCAGGAGGGAAUCUUCGGCAAUGGACGGAAGGCUGACCGAGCAACGACGCGUGAGUGAAGGAGGUUUUCGGAUCGUAAAGCUCUGUUGUAAGUGAAGAACGAGUGUGAGAGUGGAAAGUGCACACUGUGACGGUAGCUUACCAGAAAGGGACGGCUAACUACGUG
This 495-nucleotide ribosomal RNA is filed under the name uncultured bacterium. Its description in RNAcentral is "partial 16S ribosomal RNA". It matches the Rfam family "Bacterial small subunit ribosomal RNA", at positions 28 to 507 of the family's 1533-position model. The record is from RNAcentral.